Long non-coding RNA from Galeopterus variegatus (Sunda flying lemur), 634 nucleotides. RefSeq lists it as uncharacterized. NCBI's taxonomy places the organism in Eukaryota, Metazoa, Chordata, Mammalia, Dermoptera, Cynocephalidae. The transcript has 5 exons. The record is from RefSeq and is a predicted model, not a curated record.
UGCAGCUCACAAAGCUCUGUGAGGGAGGGCCCCAAUGUCUGAUUUGUAUUUGUCCCCCCGGCAGCUGCUGAUUCAUGACCAAGCCCCAGAAGACUGAAGUUCAAUUCCAUUAUUGCCUUUUUCUAAUCAUGCCAUCGGUCCAUUUCUUCAGCCAUUUGGUGAUCAUUACAACACCUUAUAGGGUUGCUGGUGGCAUUAAAUCAGACGGUACGAGUAAGAAUACUCUGUAAACACUGUAAAGUAGGGGACAAAUAUAGGGGCUUACACAUCUCCUGAAUAUUACUGCUUGUCCUUUCAACAGUUAAGAGAAUACCAGCGGCAAAAGAGGCUAGCUGCUACCACUGAAGAAAAACCCGUCCAAACUGGCAGUAGGCCCCAGCCCACCACUGGGGAUUGCCAGUCACCUCAGGAGCCCCCAUCAUCCAUCGGUGGGGAGGCCUUGAGGACGUCAACUUACACAAAGGAGCUGGAGAGCCAGUGCCUAGUUUUGGAGGCAGCCCUGGACUCCACCUACGCAGUCAAAAACUACCUAACAAGUGUGGUGCAGGAAUUGCAGGAGAGGAGGGCUGAGCAAGUGAACUCCCUGCGGGAACAACUGCAGGCUGCGAUUCACACCAGUGAGACCUUAAAGGCC